GUCAGGACGAACGCUGGCGGCGUGCUUAACACAUGCAAGUCGAACGAGAAUCGCAUGAAGGAGUAUUCGUACAACGGAGUGUGAGGACAGUGGCGGACGGGUGAGUAACGCGUGAGGAACCUGCCUUUCAGAGGGGGACAACAGUUGGAAACGACUGCUAAUACCGCAUAAUGCACGGAUAUCGCAUGGUAACCGUGCCAAAGAUUUAUCGCUGAAAGAUGGCCUCGCGUCUGAUUAGCUGGUUGGUGGGGUAACGGCCCACCAAGGCGACGAUCAGUAGCCGGACUGAGAGGUUGGCCGGCCACAUUGGGACUGAGAUACGGCCCAGACUCCUACGGGAGGCAGCAGUGGGGAAUAUUGGGCAAUGGGCGCAAAGCCUGACCCAGCAACGCCGCGUGAAGGAAGAAGGCUUUCGGGUUGUAAACUUCUUUUGUCGGGGACGAGUAGAAGACGGUACCUGACGAAUAAGCCACGGCUAACUACGUGCCAGCCGCUGC
RNAcentral lists this ribosomal RNA (497 nucleotides) under uncultured bacterium. Its description in RNAcentral is "bacterial SSU rRNA". It matches the Rfam family "Bacterial small subunit ribosomal RNA", at positions 23 to 518 of the family's 1533-position model. The record is from RNAcentral.